This 483-nucleotide ribosomal RNA is filed under the name Staphylococcus aureus. RNAcentral describes it as "bacterial SSU rRNA". It matches the Rfam family "Bacterial small subunit ribosomal RNA", at positions 1057 to 1533 of the family's 1533-position model. Lineage: Bacteria; Bacillati; Bacillota; Bacilli; Caryophanales; Staphylococcaceae. The record is from RNAcentral.
AGCUCGUGUCGUGAGAUGUUGGGUUAAGUCCCGCAACGAGCGCAACCCUUAAGCUUAGUUGCCAUCAUUAAGUUGGGCACUCUAAGUUGACUGCCGGUGACAAACCGGAGGAAGGUGGGGAUGACGUCAAAUCAUCAUGCCCCUUAUGAUUUGGGCUACACACGUGCUACAAUGGACAAUACAAAGGGCAGCGAAACCGCGAGGUCAAGCAAAUCCCAUAAAGUUGUUCUCAGUUCGGAUUGUAGUCUGCAACUCGACUACAUGAAGCUGGAAUCGCUAGUAAUCGUAGAUCAGCAUGCUACGGUGAAUACGUUCCCGGGUCUUGUACACACCGCCCGUCACACCACGAGAGUUUGUAACACCCGAAGCCGGUGGAGUAACCUUUUAGGAGCUAGCCGUCGAAGGUGGGACAAAUGAUUGGGGUGAAGUCGUAACAAGGUAGCCGUAUCGGAAGGUGCGGCUGGAUCACCUCCUUUCUAAGGA